AUUCCCUGUGUGUGGUGACCAGGACAGACGCAGUCCAGGGCGGGGACAGAGAGAGACCGGCAGUCCCAGCUGAACCUUUCUUAUCCGGCACCACCGAGCUGACUGGCGGAAUAACUGCUGUCCUUUGCCUCUUGCCAAGCACUGUUAUGGGCCCCGGUGUCGGCCCGGGCGCUGAGAGCUGCGUGUAUUCGACCCCAAGCCUGUUUAAGCCAGGCGCUCCUCCACACACCCUCAGCCUUCCUGCAGCGGGAACCCCAGGGUGCGCUGAGCCAACUGUAACCACGGAGCUGGAAUCCACGUUCCAGGACAGGGCAGAACAAGAUGCGGGGAGCUUGCAUCCCUGAGUGAUCGCAUGGAGCAGGGCUGCCCGGGAGUCCACAAACCUGGGGAGUCUCCUGGUUUCUGCAGCUGAAGCAGGGGUGCAAAACUACUGAUCCACAGGGCCUACCACCUGUCUUUGUAAAUAAAGUUUUAUUGGCACAUGGCCACGCUGGCUUA
This is a non-coding RNA of Vicugna pacos (alpaca), 498 nucleotides long. NCBI's taxonomy places the organism in Eukaryota, Metazoa, Chordata, Mammalia, Artiodactyla, Camelidae. The record is from RefSeq and is a predicted model, not a curated record.